UGGCUCAGUUGGUAGAGCAUGAGACUCUUGAUCUCAGGGUUGUGAGUUCUACCCCAC
This 57-nucleotide transfer RNA is filed under the name Felis catus (domestic cat). It matches the Rfam family "tRNA", at positions 8 to 63 of the family's 71-position model. From Rfam's summary of the family: Transfer RNA (tRNA) molecules are approximately 80 nucleotides in length. Lineage: Eukaryota; Metazoa; Chordata; Mammalia; Carnivora; Felidae. The record is from Rfam by way of RNAcentral. RNAcentral also lists the same sequence under 3 other names.